This 459-nucleotide ribosomal RNA is filed under the name uncultured bacterium. RNAcentral describes it as "partial 16S ribosomal RNA". It matches the Rfam family "Bacterial small subunit ribosomal RNA", at positions 338 to 795 of the family's 1533-position model. The record is from RNAcentral.
CCUACGGGAGGCAGCAGUGAGGAAUAUUGGUCAAUGGGCGCGAGCCUGAACCAGCCAAGUAGCGUGAAGGACGAAGGUGCCAAGCAUUGUAAACUUCUUUUGUCAAGGGACAAAAUCAGGCUCGAGAGCCUGACCGAGGGUACUUGAAGAAAAAGCAUCGGCUAACUCCGUGCCAGCAGCCGCGGUAAUACGGGGGAUGCGAGCGUUAUCCGGAUUUAUUGGGUUAAAGGGGUGCGUAGGCGGGCUGUUAAGUCAGCGGUAAAAGCCCGGGGCUCAACCCCGGCGAGCCGUUGAAACUGGCUGUCUUGAGAUGUCGAGAGGUAUGCGGAAUGCGCAGUGUAGCGGUGAAAUGCUUAGAUAUUGCGCAGAACUCCGAUUGCGAAGGCAGCAUACCGGCGGCGAUCUGACGCUGAGGCACGAAAGCGUGGGUAUCGAACAGGAUUAGAUACCCUGGUAGUC